This 506-nucleotide ribosomal RNA is filed under the name uncultured bacterium. RNAcentral describes it as "bacterial SSU rRNA". It matches the Rfam family "Bacterial small subunit ribosomal RNA", at positions 29 to 517 of the family's 1533-position model. The record is from RNAcentral.
AUGAACGCUGGCGGCGUGCCUAAUACAUGCAAGUCGAGCGAACAGAUAAGGAGCUUGCUCCUUUGAAGUUAGCGGCGGACGGGUGAGUAACACGUGGGUAACCUACCUAUAAGACUGGGAUAACUUCGGGAAACCGGAGCUAAUACCGGAUAACAUUUAGAACCGCAUGGUUCUAAAGUGAAAGAUGGUUUUGCUAUCACUUAUAGAUGGACCCGCGCCGUAUUAGCUAGUUGGUAAGGUAACGGCUUACCAAGGCGACGAUACGUAGCCGACCUGAGAGGGUGAUCGGCCACACUGGAACUGAGACACGGUCCAGACUCCUACGGGAGGCAGCAGUAGGGAAUCUUCCGCAAUGGGCGAAAGCCUGACGGAGCAACGCCGCGUGAGUGAUGAAGGGUUUCGGCUCGUAAAACUCUGUUAUUAGGGAAGAACAAAUGUGUAAGUAACUGUGCACAUCUUGACGGUACCUAAUCAGAAAGCCACGGCUAACUACGUGCCAGCAGCCG